This 1613-nucleotide long non-coding RNA is filed under the name Callithrix jacchus (white-tufted-ear marmoset). Its description in RNAcentral is "lncRNA (ENSCJAG00000073309.1)". The record is from RNAcentral. Lineage: Eukaryota; Metazoa; Chordata; Mammalia; Primates; Cebidae.
GAACAUGUCAAAGCCAAGCAAACCAUAACUAGCAUUCUAAUGACCUUGCAUUGUUAGAUAAAUGAUAACAUUAUAGGAUGAAGUUCACAAGGGAAAAGGAACAUAUUCCCUUCCUCACUCAGUAAAUUUAUGACAGCAAGGGUCCAGAAACCCUAGGGAACACAAGUCAGUUACACCUUUUGCAUGAGGUCUAUUUAACAAAGCAAAAUGAGCACAGCAGGGAAAUUUUUCUAAAACUUUUUAUUUAUAAGUAAAUAUUGGACACCAAGAUUUAUACAUUAUGUAUGACCUAUACAUACCUUGAGGGCUGUUUCCUGUACUGUGUCUCUCUUUAUGUUGUUAGUUAAAUAAAAAAGUGAACCAUAAAAAUGUCCCAAUAACACAUUUUCUAUCAACUAUCCAGGAAAAUCAAAUUUCUUUACCAUAUAGACACAAAAGUGAUAUUCUUUAAAAGGAAAACCAGAUAAUAGCCUUAAAAAUUGUUUCACAAUGGUUUAUGAUAAAAUCUAAACUCUAUUAGGCUGACAUAACAUGUUUCUUGCUCGUUUCUCUGCCCUUGUCUCUUAGGAUGCUUCUCUCCAUUCUCUGGGCUCCAGGGUUCUGAUUCCUCAAGCGCCUGCAACCUGCCUGGCUUCUUCUGGCUGCAGGACGUGAACACACACCCCUCACUCUUCAUGAUGCGGUCAAAUGGUUUUCUAAGGAUCAUGACCAGUGAAGCAGAAGGAUCAGGAAUUGUUAGAUUCAAAAGGCUUGUGAUUUUUCCUUUAUGCUACACUGCCACGAAAGAGAAAAACGAAAUCAGAAAAUAAACAUUCAAAAACCUGUUUUUCAAAUUGCUUCAAUAUGUCUUCAGCAAUCCAUGUAUAUAAUGUGUGUGUGUUCAUUCAAUUGUUUUCUUCAUUAAAACCAUAAUCGUUUAGUAUCCACAGACCCAGUAUCAGAUUUAGUAGCUUAGCGAAUGUCUGAAUGAAAUGAAUCGGCAUUUCUGGCUUUAAAAAGAAUUCUCAUUUUAUGUCCAACAUGAGCGUUGGCCAGACUUUUCACAUCCUUUUUUAUGUUUGAGAAAAGAAAAAAAAAACGAUGUGGCAACAUCGUUUGAAAAUUUUCACAUCCUAUUUCACAUACAUUUUUAGCCUCUGAGAGUACAAAACUUGAAUUUUUAAAAAGCAAUUAAAAAUGGACUAAUGAUGUGACAUAACAAUAUGUUUUUGUAUUUUCAGUUUUUCCUUGUGCAUCACCGGCACAUAAUGACGGAUGCAGUCAUAUAAAUGGUAAUAAUUUCCUUGGCCCCAUCCCUGCUUGCUGAUAGAUCUCAGCUCUCUCGAUAGAGUCCCUCUGGUUCUCCUGGGAACUCCCUCCCCCAGAUUGCCCCCCACACACUGAUGAUCAGGUGGGCCUCCCAGUCCUGCUUUGGCAUCUGCUGGUUGCCUCAAUGUCUAUCAGACCCCCCAACCUCAUGGCAGCUGGGGUACUGAAGGCCUUGAUGUGUUAAAACUCCUCAGGUUUCUGCUUCAAAUGGGAAAGGCUUCUUACAGGUGAUCAAAGAAGUGCUGUUCCUUUUCUAAAGUCUUGGCUAAGAUGCUAGUAAAGGUUCUCUUCUGAUUCGUUCUUCA